Molecule: ribosomal RNA, 253 nt
Filed under: uncultured bacterium
Lineage: Bacteria
Description: partial 16S ribosomal RNA
Rfam family: Bacterial small subunit ribosomal RNA
Source: RNAcentral
UACGAACUGCGCGAACGUUAUUCGGAAUCACUGGGCGUAAAGGGCGCGUAGGCGGACUCUUAAGUCGGGGGUGAAAGCCCAGGGCUCAACCCUGGAAUUGCCUUCGAUACUGAGAGUCUUGAGUUCGGAAGAGGUUGGUGGAACUGCGAGUGUAGAGGUGAAAUUCGUAGAUAUUCGCAAGAACACCAGUGGCGAAGGCGGCCAACUGGUCCGAUACUGACGCUGAGGCGCGAAAGCGUGGGGAGCAAACAGG